UGAAUCAUCGAAUCUUUGAACGCACCUUGCGCUCCUUGGUAUUCCUUGGAGCAUGCCUGUUUGAGUAUCAUGAAAUCUUCAAAGUAAAUCUUUUGUUAAUUCAAUUGGUUUCUACUUUGGUCUUGGAGGUUUUUGCAGCUUCACAUCUGCUCCUCUUUGUGCAUUAGCUGGAUCUCAGUGUUAUGCUUGGUUCCACUCAGCGUGAUAAGUUAUCUAUCGCUGAGGACACUGUAAAAGGUGGCCAAGGUAAAUGCAGAUGAACCGCUUCUAACAGUCCAUUUAAUUGGACAAUAUUUUUUAUGAUCUGAUCUCAAAUCAGGUAGGACUACCCGCUGAACUUAAGCAUAUCAAUAAGCGGAGGAAAAGAAACUAACAAGGAUUCCCCUAGUAACGGCGAGUGAAGCGGGAAGAGCUCAAAUUUAAAAUCUGGCAGUGUAUUCUGUCCGAGUUGUAGUCUAGAGAAGCAUCAUCCGUGCUGGACCAUGUACAAGUCUCUUGGAACAGAGCGUCAUAGAGGGUGAGAAUCCCGUCCUUGACAUGGACUCCCAGUACUUUGUGUUGUGCUCUCAACGAGUCGAGUUGUUUGGGAAUGCAGCUCAAAAUGGGUGGUAAAUUCCAUCUAAAGCUAAAUAUUGGCGAGAGACCGAUAGCGAACAAGUACCGUGAGGGAAAGAUGAAAAGCACUUUGGAGAGAGAGUUAAACAGUACGUGAAAUUGUUGAAAUGGAAACGCUUGAAGUCAGUCGCGUUCUCUGGGAUUCAGCCUUGCUUUUGCUUGGUGCAUUUCCUAGUCUACGGGCCAGCAUGAAUUUUGACCGGUGGAAAAAGAUUUGGGGAAUGUGGCACCUUCGGGUGUGUUAUAGCCCCUUGUCAUAUACAUCGGUUGGGAUUGAGGUCUUAGUGCACGCUUCGGUUGUGCUUUGAUGCUGGCGUAAUGGCUUUAAACGACCCGUCUUGAAACACGGACCAAGGAGUCUAACAUGUCUGCAAGUGUUUGGGUGCAAAACCCGAGCGCGAAAUGAAAGUGAUAGUUGGGAACCUCUUCAGAGGGGCACCGACGCCCGGACCAGACCUUCUGUGACGGAUCCGAGGUAGAGCAUAUAUGUUGGGACCCGAAAGAUGGUGAACUAUGCCUGCAUAGGGUGAAGCCAGAGGAAACUCUGGUGGAGGCUCGUAGCGAUUCUGACGUGCAAAUCGAUCGUCAAAUGUGGGUAUAGGGGCGAAAGA
This 1226-nucleotide ribosomal RNA is filed under the name Ceratobasidium sp. AG-V. RNAcentral's name for it is "eukaryotic LSU rRNA". The stretch from base 306 to 1226 matches the Rfam family "Eukaryotic large subunit ribosomal RNA", at positions 1 to 930 of the family's 3401-position model. Lineage: Eukaryota; Fungi; Basidiomycota; Agaricomycetes; Cantharellales; Ceratobasidiaceae. The record is from RNAcentral.